Long non-coding RNA from Mus musculus (house mouse), 790 nucleotides. RefSeq annotates it as predicted gene, 31340. The transcript has 5 exons. The record is from RefSeq and is a predicted model, not a curated record. Lineage: Eukaryota; Metazoa; Chordata; Mammalia; Rodentia; Muridae.
AAGGAAUCUGAUUGGGCUCUGGCUGCCUGCUCUGCGGACAGAAAAAGGGGAAGAAUCCUUUCUAUUCUCGGGACACGCAGAUCUUUCUGCAGGCAAUCUGGCAAUGCUGGAGGAAAAGAGGGACACCGUGGAUGAGGAGAUCGAUGAAAAGAAGUCAGCUUGAGAAUGACAGGGGCAUUGAGAAAUGCAGUUCUCGUUUUGCCACAGUUAAUGGAGACUCUCACACGGGAGACAGAGAUACACAACCAGGAAGACUGAGAGUAUGAUUCAAACAAUGAUUGGCAGCCCAGCAGAGGAGGAAAGUGUGGUCUUAUCCUCGAGGAAGGGCAUGAGCUGGGAGGUCACCCACAUUAUUACCUUCACAUCAGUUGUCACACCUAAUAGCAAAGGUGACUGGAAAUACAGUCUUUCUUCUGAGCAGCCACAUGCACAGCAAACGUGGGAGUGAAAAAGGAGGCACGGUGAUGGAGUGCGUGGGUGCUGAGAUGACUGGUGUAUCUUACUAUGCUGGGUUUUAUGUGAUGCUGGAGAUGGAACCAAGCCAGAGCUUCAUGAAUGAAAGUAACUUGGAGGCUGGAGAGAUGUCUUGGCAGUUUAGACCACACCAUAUUCUUGCAGAAGAUCCUCGUUCAACUCCUAUGCCUGUGCCAGUGGGCUCAUGGCACCCGUGACUCCAGUUCCACAAGAGUUGAUCCCUCCUCAAUCCCUCUGGCCUCUGAGGAUGCUUCCACUCUCAUGCUCAUACCCACGUGCAGAUAUACACAAUUAAAAAUGAAAAAUAAAAACAAAA